This 10448-nucleotide long non-coding RNA is filed under the name Podarcis lilfordi (Lilford's wall lizard). Lineage: Eukaryota; Metazoa; Chordata; Lepidosauria; Squamata; Lacertidae. The record is from RNAcentral.
AAUUAAAUCAAAAAUCCUUUAAUAAUUAUUAGCUAGAAAGUCAUAAUUAAUGCUGAAAGGGUAAAUUGAUUAAAUACGUCAUUUAAAUCUGAAAAAGCCACUUUUAUUGCAAAAUAGCAUUAUAUAUUUUAAGCUUAUUUGUUGAGAAAUGAGUCCCAUAGAAAGAUUUCAAUAUAGUAUAUCAAAAUGCUUGAAGAGUAUUCAUCACAAUGGCUUUUAUAUACAGUUUUCUGCUGUUUCGUGAUACGACCACAGUUAAGUUCAUCUGUAAAGGAAAACGUUUCUUUACAAAAUAAUCCCACAGGUCCGGAACAACAGCAAAAACAAAACAAAAAGUGUGAAAAAACCAAGUUUGGUCACUUGACAUAAGAUAUCCACCACAUCCCUUUCGACAGCCCGGUUCCAUUUCCAUUUUAAACAAAACAAUAAUAAUAAGCGACAUCUUAAAAUCAGUGCAUUAAAAAGUGUGUCCAAUAAUCAAACAUUCAUUUGACACGACAAGAAGGAAGCAAUACUCGUUUUAGAGGGUUUCCGAAACAGGGAGGUCCAAGGAAUACGCCAAAGAGAUGCCAAUCUGAUGGGCAAGAUCCGCUGCUGCAGUAGGAAACUGAGAGGGGGCUUCUGGGUAAAGGAGUAAAACCAGAAAAAAAUGGACUGCCCCACUCACCACGCCCUGGGAAAUCUGGAUGCUGGUUCUUUAACGUGGCAGCAAAGCAGUACUUUGCACAUGGGAAAGCGUUAAUGGCACAGAGGGAUAAGCAGCAAUAAAUACAGAAAGCGUAAUAGAGAGGUAGGGUGGGGAGCGUUUUCCAUUCUGAGGAUCACCUUCCUUUCCAGACCUUCUGGGGUCAAAAGUGGGCAGAGCACUGUACAAACAGGCUAGUUUCUACACAUGGCUCACCCAACUCUCUCUUCGGCAAGAGGCAUCAGUCUCAAGAGUUCAAGGACAUAUUUCAGCCAGGCAAAAGCACCCAAGGGUGGGGAAGCAGGGCAGGAUUAAGACUACAGUGGAUGCUCAGGUUGCGAACGUGAUCCGUGCGGGACGCACGUCCGCAACCCGCAGCGUCGCGUCUGCGCAGGUUGCGAUUCGUCUCGUCUGCGCAAAGCGCGAUUUAGCACUUCUGCGCAUGCGCGACCACCGAACCCCGGAAGUAACCCGUUCUGGUACUUCCGGGUUUUGGCAUUCCGCAACCCAAGAAAACGCAACCUGAAGCGUCUGUAAUCCGAGGUAUGACUGUACGGCCUGGGGAAAAUUCAGAGAGCCAGGUACAGAGGACCAGCUCCCCAAAACCCAAGGUUCCCCAUGCCUGGCGCAACGGGACAGAUAAAACAGGCAGAGAUCCCAAGGAGCAGAGUCGGAGGUGUGGAAGGGAAAGUUGAGCCGAGGAAGCGAAAACUGGCAAAAGCUUAGGAACCAGGGAUUUGCUCAGCAAAAUUGGGAGAAGGCAGUUUAGGUGAGCCUGCACUGAACCCCUUCAGCCUUCAAGUGAGAAGGUUGCAUAGCUGAAAUGGUUCUCUGCAGAUAAAUAAAUUCUCCACGCAGAAGCCUGAAGUGGUGCAGAGCAGAAGGUGGUUUGCUACCUCACCUAAAGAUCAUUUGCGGAAGGUUUCUGCAUUUCAUGCGCGUCUGAUAUGUGCACCACCACCGCCCUGCUGUGAACGUCCAUGGCACCCUUUGAACCCAAACUGCCUCCCCCUGCUCUCUUCCACGGCCCCACUUUCAGCUUCCGCUAGGAAAAGUCACUGGCAAAUAUUUUACCGCCGUUGCCAUAAUAAAUUGCAGGCCAAACCGCCCGGUUUGUGAAGACGGGCCGGCUGCAUUCCUGGUUCUCCCCCGGGCAGAAUGCGAAGACGGUUAGCUAAGGAGCACACACAGUUGUGCAAACUUCUCAGAAGUUAAGGAGGGCUUUUAUUUAAUACUGUUGGGUAUUCAAGUACCAACAUUGUCCCAAUCUUCAAUUGCUUAGCUGUACGUUCAGCCGCUCAUCAGAUCAGAUGCUCAGAUUCAGUAUAUGGCGGUAUCCCAUGUUCCUUCCUCAAUCCGUCAGAUGAUCCACAUUGUCAUUAUGACGGAGAAAAGGCAAUUUAUUUAUUUUUUUUAAAAAGAGCAGAAUACAAUCUGUGUGCCUCACAGGGAUGCCGUCAGAUAUUGUGACACAACGCCUGGUCUUUGGAAACAGGGGGUCACCCAAAAAAUAUCCCUGCAGCAACAUCUACUGUCAUUGCCAAAUCAAACAUUACACCACAAACAAGUCUUGAGAUAUGGGGAAUGUUCCUCUUGAUUUUUUUAAAAUGACUAGACUGGGCAGCUAAUCCAGGUUGGCAAAUAAACGGGCAACCUUCACCGUCCCACUUUCCUCCACGCAAAACUAUUUCAACAGUUUGUGGCACUGAAAGAAGUUCCGCAAGUUCCCGCUGUUGGGUUCACAGGUGAGACCGUAACAGCUAGAGAGAGCAGAACUAGAUUGUUUCAAGGCAGGCACCCCCAAACUUGGCCCUCUAGCUGUUUUGGAACUACAGUUCCCAUCAUCCCUGACCAAUGGGAUGAUGGGAGUUGCAGUCCCAAAACUGCUGGAGGGCCGAGUUUGGGGAUGGCCGAGUUAGGGGCAAAGACCUUGCUCCUUGUGGAUGUGAGUUGUUUCCCCUCGUUAUGGGUCCAGCCCCAGCGUUUGGCUCCAUAUUGGAUAUAGUCUUAAGAUACAUUCCAGCUGGGGUGGAGAUUGCAGCUCAUCACCUCCUGGCUGCAGGUCACAGGGAGUGAUUUCUUUUUUUAAAAACGGGCCCUCUGGUUGGGGAGAUACAAUCAUAGUAAAUACAACCUUUAAAUUCCGGGCUCCACGUUUUAGCUGGCGGCAUCUCAGGGGCAAAGUGCACACGGCGUUUAUAGGCUUCCUAAUGUUGUGCGUCUCUUUCUUGUUGCAGCAAACAGUGUGUGGCAGGGAAGAGCAUCAACAAGACUCAGAAUAAGGCUUUAACUCCCCACCCCAAAAAUGCAGAGUUUCAACACACAAAGAGCAGGAGGGGCGGAUUUUCUAGGGACACCACACAUAAUUCCACUUUUAUUUUAUCCAUGCCAUUUAUCUUCCUUCUGGGAGAAGGCAGUCUGGGUUUCCCCCUGAUAAGAGACAAGCUCCCAAGCAUUCACACACAACUUUCAGUAUUGCACAGGUUCAGUAAAGCCAAGAAGGCAUUUCAGAGGCACACAGUCUUUAGCAGGGGUAGCCAACGUGGAGCCCACGUAGACACAGAUCCCUGACCGUUGCGGCUGUGUUAGGAGUCAAACGUCCAUGCUCCAUGUUGGCUACCCCCGGUCUGAAAAUACUACAUUCUUUUCUUCCGGCGGCUGUUUUUAGAAUACAUUUGGACCAAGCAUUGCUCUUUUCGACUACAUAAAGUGAAGAAGAUGCCCUAGCCGUGCCAGAUUUUGCUACAGGAGAUGCAAACAGGUGUGCUAAGACGACUCACUUUAAACAGGCCCCUUUCCUUAGCUAGCAGAGCUCUACUGCGGCCCCUGCAAAUUUUACACCCCUAAAAGGCUUACUUUAAGAGGCAUUUGCCCCCAGCCAGAAGUUAAAAGUUCUUUGCCAAGUCCGUACUUCUACUGAAGGGAGACUUGCCUCCAGUCUCAAUGAUGCGUUCGGGACGCAUGACAGUACAGAAAAAAAUCUGCCUUAGGAACUUUGAUUGAACAGCUUCCAAAGUGCUAAGGUGGUUACCAGUCCAAAUCAGAGCCCCGUGUAGUAGCUGUGCUAGGGGUUUGGCUCGGAAGACUUCUAGGGCUGAUGGUAUAUGUUUGCCACCCUUUGUAUGGAAAAAAAUCAGAAUAAGAGCCACUAACUGACUGCUGAUUCAGGACUUUAAAUUGUGCUUUUAUAUCAAAUUUCCUUUUCUGCGUAUACUGUAAUGUUUUACUGUUGCUAUGGCCAUUGGGCUAAUGCGAAUAAAGUUUUAUUUUAUUUAUUUGCCCCCAGCCACUCUGGUGGGAUCUGAGCACAUCUCCUGAAAGAGGAUUGGCCCUAACAGCGACUCCCAUAAAACCAGGAAUAUUUUUUUGAUGGGCUUUUAAAAAAAUAAAAUAAAAUUGGGAGCAGCUGAAUCCAGUCACUCCAAUCACAUCCCAGUGGGGAGAUGGGGCAGAGCCCCACUUCCUGCCCUCCAACGAAGGUUGUCUGGGAAGGAGGCAGGGCCAUGCAAUAGCUCUGGGUGUUUUUAUUUCUUGAUGCCGCAAGUUUGCCCACGAGACCCGGCUUUUCAGCUGUGAAACAUAGCAGGUGCUGCUGAGUUGUACUGAUUAAGCUGUGUCAGCAAUUGGGUGUAGUAUAUAAGGAGCAGCACCUAGCUCUCCCAUUACCCUGGGGGAUGGGUUGGUGGUUGGGUCAUGUUUGUUUGUUGAUGUAUUUUGUGUAUAAGGAGUUUUUGUAAUUAAAACCUUGUUUAAGUUAUUUUUGAGUCCCUUUUUAAUGCAUGGUCUCCCCAGCAAGCUCUCUGCAGCGUUACUAUACUGCAAAUAGCCAACAUCUUUGGUUAUGGGCCCAGUUGCUGAGUGGAUGACUGCAUAUUUUUUGGACUCUGAGAAAGGUUUGAAAACUCCUUCUCCUGUUGGCGUAGUUCUGUGGGUCUGGAAGAGUUCCAGAAUGGUUGACCGGGUUCCUGAAGCUGAGAAGGCUCUGGUCUUCCCACAGCUGACAGAUGAGAACUAUAGUUUAUGGUCUUUUUGGGUGGAGGCGCUCUUGACCUCUAGAGAAGGAUGGACCUAUGUAACUGAUGACCCUCCUAACCCUGUAACUAAUGCUUGGUCGAAAGGAGAUGCAAAAGCCAGGGCGAUAAUUAAUUUGGCAGCCAGCGACCAGCAUGUAGUCUAUAUAAGGAAUAAGAAAACUGCCAAAGAAAUGUGGGACAGUCUUGCAGCAGUGCAUAUUAGAAAAGAGUCAGCGUCUGCAUUGACGUUUUUCAAGCAGCUGUACCAGACCAAGUUGCAGCCUGGUGGUGAUUUGGCAGCACAUUUGAGACGUCUGGAGGCAAUACGCGGCGAAUUAAUUCGAAGGGACAUGGAGAUACCUGAUAUUCAGUAUGUUUUUAUCAUUCUUUGUUCCCUUAACGAGGACUUUGAUGGUAUAGCUAGCCAGAUAUCUGCCGUUCCACCAGCACAAUUAACUGUGGAAGGGGUAACGGCAAGAUUAAUGGGCGAGUUGGACAGAAGGGAGGCUUGUGCCAUAAGCACUCCUAUUUCCAAAAAGAAUGAGGAACCCCAUACACAAACUUGUGGUGAUACAACUGCAUUUAAAGCUGCCAAGUGUUGUUGGUUCUGCAAUAAGCAAGGACAUUUUGCAAAGGACUGCAGAUCCAAAAGAAAGCAAAGUACUCCCAAGUCUGUUUCUGUUCGUCAGUCACGGUCGUCAGCCCAGCAGCCAACAUUGUAUAGUAGAGAAAGAAACGAGCCGCGAGCUUUUUACACUCUGACUACAGAUCGUAAAAGAAUUAAAGGUGCCAAGUGGAAUUCUUUUAUUGUGGACUCAGGAGCAUCCCAGCACAUUUGCAACGAUCGAAGCUUGUUUAUUUCUUUCGAAGAGGAAAUUGGUAAUGUACAUUUAGCCAAUUCACAAGUCUUGCAGUCGCUUGGCAGGGGUACUGUUAAACUUGACUCUUUAAACAUUACAAUAGCAAACUGCAUUUACUGCCUGUCAGUGGACAAUUUAUUAUCAGUAAGGUGCUUUGCUCGUCAAGGCAUAACUGUGCGUUUCUUAAAGUCAAUGUGUGAGUUUUUCAAGGGGAACAAACGUCUAUUGUGUGCCCGGGAAUCUGAUGGUUUAUAUAGACUGUACUUUUGCACCUACUCACAAUCGCCUAUAAACUGCAGAGCAGCACAGUCAGGCCAGGGGUUGAGGAAUGUAAGGCCACAUUCCGGGUGUGUCCAUGAGGCGCACAGAGUUCUAGGACAUUUAAAUUUUGCUGAUGUAAUUAAGACAAAGAAUAUUGCUAAUGGCCUCAACUUAAAACCAUGUAAAAUCUUUAUGCAAUGUCUAUCCUGUUGCAAGAAUAAGAUCAAGGUUGCACGCAAGGGUAGGUGCUCAGAUAGGAAAGUAACUGAGCCAUUUGAGCAUGUACAUUGUGAUUUAGUUGGGCCACUCCCACCAUCAUUAGGAGGUUCUAAGUACUGGCUUACCCUGAUAGACCAGUAUAGCAGAUAUUGUUGGACUUAUGCAAUAGCUGAGAAGUCCCAAGCAUUUGAGAAGUACAAGGUUUUUUGCAACUGGGUAAAAACGCACUUUAACAAACCUAUUAAGAACCUGUUUUCUGACCGGGGCGGGGAAUUUGUUUCUGAGGAUUUUGAGAAAUUCCUGGAAGCGCAGGGGACUACUCAUGAGUUAUCUUGCCCCCGAAGUCCCUGGCAAAAUGGGCUUGUUGAAGUUGUGCAGCGUGACUUGCAGGCAGGGGUUAAAACUUAUCUGCAUGAUGCUAAUCUGCCCAAAGACUUUUGGGCUGAAGCGCUCCAUGCCUUUUGUUAUGUUAGAAAUCAGUUAUCAUUCUGGUUUAGAUGUCACCCCCUAUGAGAAGUUGUUUAAAAAAUGCCCUAAUUUGAAAUACCUACGCAUUUGGGGUUCGGAUGUAAUUAUGCAUUAUCCCGCUAAGCAGAAAUUGGGUGAGCGUAGUGUUCAGGGAAAAUUAAUGGGCUACCAGCAGGGGGUGUACAGAAUUUACAUACCAGCAACUGGCAAAUUUCAUAUUACCAGAAGCGUGAUACAAACUGUAAAUUGGAAUGGGGUUGCUGUUUUCCAAGAUGCUAACGGUAUAGAUGAUACUGAGGAAGAAGAGGUAGAAGCAGCAGCAGCAGCAGGAAAUGGUGCUUCUGAAUUAAUGGAAGAAGACAAAAAGCCUGUUGAAUCUGAUAAUUUGUUUGAUUUAAAGUCACAGGCACCCGAGGAGAGGUUAGAUUCUCUUGAGUUUUCUGACCGUGAGCUUAGCCCACAGGCAUCUCUUCAGUCUGACAAUGAUGAUUUACAACCUGAAACUAGUAGUUUACAUAGUCCCAUUAAGUCUGAGUCUGACUCUCCUUCCGGACUAAGACGUUCAGAUAGAAAGAGGCAGAAGCCACAACAUUUUGGAGAUGAACAUUUUAAUACUGUGUUUGCCAAUAAGGCGGUUUUUGAGCCAAAAAGCUACAAUGAUGUUCGGAAUUUACCUAAGCACCAAGCUGCAAAUUGGUAUAAAGCUAUGAACUCUGAAAUAGCUUCUUUAAAAGAGCAUAACACUUGGUCUCUUGUACCACAAACCCCAGAUAUGAGACUUAUUGAUUCAAAAUGGGUUUAUAGAGUUAAAAUGAAUGACAAAAAUGAAGUUGUAAGGUACAAGGCAAGAUUAGUUGCUAGGGGUUUUCAACAAAUUCCAGGCGAAGAUUAUGAUUUGUGCUAUUCACCAAGUGUAAAAUAUGAAACAGUUAAGCUUUUGUUAAAAGAUGCAUCACAACGUGGACAUUCUGUUUAUCACCUAGAUAUAAAAACUGCAUAUUUGUUUGCAGAUUUAAAAGAACAAAUUUUUAUGCGUGUUCCUGAAGGCAUAGACGCCGCUGAAGGUUUGGUAUGCAAAUUAAAUAAAUCCCUUUAUGGUCUGCACCAAAGUGGAAGGAAUUGGCACCAAACUUUAGCAAAAGAAUUGCUGGAUAUUGGGUUUUCACAGGGAAAGGCAGACAAUUGUGUGUUUAUAAAGGAAAGGGCAAACUCUGUAGCAAAAAUAUGUGUGUAUGUAGAUGACGUGUUAAUUUCUACAAAAACUAAACAGGAAUAUGAACAGGUAGUAACACAGUUACAGAAGAAAUUUGAUGUGGUGGAAUUAGGCACAGCUAAAAAUUACUUAUCCAUGCAAAUUGAGAAAGGCAAAAAUGGAUCUUUUCUAGUUCAGCAAACUGCAAAAAUUGAUGAUCUUGUUGAAAUGCUAUGUUUAGAAAAUGCAAAUGGGAAGCAAACGCCUAUGGUGUGUGGUUUCACCUUUACAGGUGAAGAUAAGCCAUUUCCUAACAAAACUUUGUAUCGUUCUGCUAUAGGCAAGCUAAAUUUUAUUCAAAGAAUCUCAAGACCAGAUAUAACUUAUGCUUUUCACUUUCUGGCAAAAUUUGUGGAUAAGCCCACUACGCAAUGUUUCUCUGCUCUUAAGAGAGUGGUGAUGUACCUUAAACAUACCAAAUAUUAUAGGUUGCAGUUUACAACAUGUAUUGACAAAGGUUUUGAAAUUUUCUGCGAUGCAUCUCACGCAGUGGAACAAAAUAAUUGCAGGGGUGUGUCUGGUAUGGUGUUUUGUUAUAACGGUUGUCCAUUUGAAUGGAAGUCCCAGACACAAAACAUUAUUUGUCUCUCCACAACAGAGAGUGAAUUAUGUGCAUGCGUUCAGGCCACUCGUGAUGUAGAAUGGUAUCUGCAAGUAUUCGCAGACCUACAGAUGCAAGUAACACUACCAGUAAAAGUUUACCUUGAUUCCCAGAGUGGACUCGCUAUCCUAUGUUCAGAAACCAAUACGCAGCGCACUAGAGUCUUAAGAUUACGUUUAGAAUUUGUAAAGAAACUAAUUGCUGAUGAAAUGAUUGUCACCUGGAACAUAUUGAAAUACAAUCAAAUUGCAGACAUUUUUACUAAAGCUCUUCCAAAGGUUACACAUGAAAGACAUGUACAAAAUAUGCUUUAUGUUUCUGUUCCACAAUGAUGAACCGCAGGGGAAAUGUUGAAUGGUUUCUUUAAAUGUAAAGGUUCAUCAUUGUUCCACCCGAUGUGUAUGUCUUUAAGGGGCCAGAGCAAAAUAACGAGACCCGGCUUUUCAGCUGUGAAACAUAGCGGGUGCUGCUGAGUUGUACUGAUUAAGCUGUGUCAGCAAUUGGGUGUAGUAUAUAAGGAGCAGCACCUAGCUCUCUCAUUACCCUGGGGGAUGGGUUGGUGGUUGGGUCAUGUUUGUUUGUUGAUGUAUUUAGUGUAUAAGGAGUUUUUUGUAAUUAAAACCUUGUUUAAGUUAUUUUUGAGUCCCUUUUUAAUGCAUGGUCUCCCCAGCAAGCUCUCUGCAGCGUUACUAUACUGCAAAUAGCCAACAAUGCCCGCUCCUGGGCAUCUCCACGGAAACAGCGCCUGGAAUGCCUCACUCUGGUAUUAAAAGCGUUAACAGCUACGACAUGUUGUGGUGGGCAAGUUAUGGAAUUUCUCUGCAGAGAGCUCUGAAUGGCACCCAUGAGCCUCUCCCCCCGUGCUGGGCUUUGCCCUCCCUGCGUGGGCAAAACAUUGGCCAGCCUUGCUUCUCUGCACAGCAAAGAGCGAGAGACACACUGGGUUUUCUUAUUGUUUACCGCGUAACCGCUUAUCACGCUGCUACAAAAGAGCUCCGAAUCAGGAGCCCGCGAUUUCGCCUCGCUCUCAGAAACAUGCCAAACACACGUAAGGUUGAGAGGGAAACCGUAAGACGAAGAAGUCCGGAUGGGAAGGCAAAACAGCCCCUUGGGUCUUCCCAUCCCAUAUGGAAAAGCAAGAGGAGGCCGGGGUGGGCAGGCGCACGGCAGAAAAAUGCGACUUGGCAGACUUUUCACUUUCUUUCUUCAUUCACCCACUAUUUGGUGCGGAAUCGGUACUUCUAAAGUAAGCUGCAAGCCUUCAUGAUAUUGGCUAUAAUUAUUACUACUAUUUGUGAUUUCCAAGAUACUUAGAAAUGCGGGGAAACAGCAUAGGGCGGGCAUGGGCAAACUCGGCCCUCCAGAUGAUUUGGGACUACAAUUCCCAUCAUCCCUGACCGCUGGUCCUGUUAGCUAGGGAUGAUGGGAGUUGUAGUCCCAAAACAUCUGGAGGGCCGAGUUUGCCCAUGCCUGGCAUAGGCAGUGUUUGCAACAUGUGCUUUUUGGGGUGGGAGUAGCAUGGUCAAUUGGGUGGAUUUGUAGAGGACAAAUGCAAAAGGGUUCAAUCCCUAGCAUCUCCAGGUAGGACUGGGGAAAAAGAUCUUGCCUGAAUCCUGGAAAGCAGCUACCAGUCAGUGUAGACAAUACUGAACUAGAGAGUGAUCCUGGAAACUAGGCUCAGCACAAGGCAGGUUCCUAUGCCCCUACAAGCAAUGUGCUUGGACAGGGUAGGAGAGGGGUUUGUGGGCCGAUGGGGUUUGGGCUCGAGAGAGGCAAAUGCCACUGGCUACCGACAGCCUGAAGACUUGAGGCUAUCGAGGCCACAUUGCACAUCACUGAUCGGUAACCGAAUACAGGCAGGAGAUACCAAACAUGAAUCGCAGGCCGGCCAAUUCACAUAAGAGCCAAAAGAAAACCAAAGGGAAGUCAACCAUGAGCAGUGUUGGAAACUCAGGUGCGUAAGCUAGGUGCCAAAUGGCUGCUUAAACCAGUCGCCAAAACGGAAUGCCUAGAUGCCAUUUGGGGGACCAGGCGGCUCAAAAAAAAAUAAUUCAUAUUUUUCAAUGCGACUUUUUGUUUCCUGAAAUUC